AAUCAACGCUGGCGGCGUGCCUCAGACAUGCAAGUCGAACGCGAAAUUUCCCUUCGGGGAGAAAGUAGAGUGGCGCACGGGUGAGUAACACGUAGGUAAUUUGCCUUUGGGUGGGGAAUAACUCAGGGAAACUUGAGCUAAUACCGCAUAAUGCAGCGGCUCGACAUCGAGACAGUUGUUAAAGCGGGGGAUCGCAAGACCUCGCGCCUAAAGAGAAGCCUGCGGCAGUAUAGCUAGUUGGUAGGGUAAUGGCCUACCAAGGCAACGAUCUGUAACCGGCCUGAGAGGGCGGUCGGUCACACUGACACUGACAUACGGGUCAGACUCCUACGGGAGGCAGCAGUCGGGAAUUUUGGGCAAUGGGCGAAAGCCUGACCCAGCAACGCCGCGUGAAGGAUGAAAUCCCUCGGGAUGUAAACUUCGCAAGAACGGGAAGAAUAAGUAGAAGAUAAUACCUUCUAUGAUGACGGUACCG
This 475-nucleotide ribosomal RNA is filed under the name uncultured bacterium. Its description in RNAcentral is "bacterial SSU rRNA". It matches the Rfam family "Bacterial small subunit ribosomal RNA", at positions 32 to 480 of the family's 1533-position model. The record is from RNAcentral.